Molecule: ribosomal RNA, 378 nt
Filed under: Triticum aestivum (bread wheat)
Lineage: Eukaryota; Viridiplantae; Streptophyta; Magnoliopsida; Poales; Poaceae
Description: partial small subunit ribosomal RNA
Source: RNAcentral
AUGGGCAUUGGAGUGAAGGACAGUGGAUUUUAUCGCUAUGUGGCUGUCUUCCAAUAUGGUUCUGCUGUGCCCUUUAAUAUUAGUGAUGAUGAAGCUGAGCACUAUCUUUAUAUGAUCAGAAAUCAUGCUUCGGGAUGGCUUCCGGAGAUGAGGAAAGACGAUUAUGCAGUAGUCGAAAUGUCAUCCCUGACAACUUGGAUGAAAGGAGGUCUUGAUUAUAUAGUUCUUAAAAGUUUAGACACUUCUGGAAUUCGGAUAAUUUCAAGUGUUCUUGGUCAAAGUAUCGCUCUUGAUCUUUACUUACGGCAGUCGAUGAUAUGGUUGAGGAAUUUACUGAAAUCAGUCGUAUCAUGGAGAAGACUGGCGACUACACAAUGA